GGGGAUCUAGCUCAGUGGUAGAGCGCUUGCCUAGCAAGCGCAAGGCCCUGGGUUCGGUCCCCAGCUCCA
This is a non-coding RNA of Rattus norvegicus (Norway rat), 69 nucleotides long. NCBI's taxonomy places the organism in Eukaryota, Metazoa, Chordata, Mammalia, Rodentia, Muridae. The record is from Rfam.